Molecule: ribosomal RNA, 1396 nt
Filed under: uncultured bacterium
Lineage: Bacteria
Description: partial 16S ribosomal RNA
Rfam family: Bacterial small subunit ribosomal RNA
Source: RNAcentral
UUAGAGUUUGAUCCUGGCUCAGGAUGACCUUUAGCGGCAGGCUUAACACAUGCAAGUCGAGGGGCAGCAUGUCCAGCAAUGGAUGAUGGCGACCGGCGGAAGGGUGCGUAACGCGUGAGCAACAUGCCCUAUACAGGGAGAUACACCAAGGAAACUUGGUCUAAUAUCCCAUAGCAUUCAUUGAAGGCAUCUUUAAUGAAUUAAAGCUUCGGUGGUAUAGGAUUGGCUCGCGUGACAUUAGCCAGAUGGUGAGGUAACGGCUCACCAUAGCAAUGAUGUCUAGGGGUUUUGAGAGGAAGGCCCCCCACACUGGGACUGAGACACGGCCCAGACUCCUACGGGAGGCAGCAGUGAGGAAUAUUGGACAAUGGAUGGAAAUCUGAUCCAGCCAUGCCGCGUGCAGGAAGACGGCCUUAUGGGUUGUAAACUGCUUUUAUACGGGAGCAAUAAGGGUUACGAGUAAUCCGAUGAGAGUACUGUAUGAAUAAGGAUCGGCUAACUCCGUGCCAGCAGCCGCGGUAAUACGGAGGAUCCGAGCGUUAUCCGGAUUUAUUGGGUUUAAAGGGUACGUAGGCGGGAUGAUAAGUCAGCGGUGAAAUUUUGCAGCUUAACUGUAAGCUUGCCGUUGAAACUAUUAUUCUUGAGUGUAGAUAAGGUAGGCGGAAUGUGUUGUGUAGCGGUGAAAUGCUUAGAUAUAACACAGAACACCAAUUGCGAAGGCAGCUUACCGGGUUACCACUGACGCUGAGGUACGACAGCGUGGGGAUCAAACAGGAUUAGAUACCCUGGUAGUCCACGCCGUAAACGAUGAAUACUCGCUGUUUGCGAUAUAGUGCAAGCGGCCAAGCGAAAGCAUUAAGUAUUCCACCUGGGGAGUACGUUCGCAAGAAUGAAACUCAAAGGAAUUGACGGGGGCCCGCACAAGCGGAGGAACAUGUGGUUUAAUUCGAUGAUACGCGAGGAACCUUACCCGGGCUUGAAAUGCAAUCGACUGACUUGGAAACAGGUCAUCCAGCAAUGGCGAUUGUGUAGGUGCUGCAUGGUUGUCGUCAGCUCGUGCCGUGAGGUGUCGGCUUAAGUGCCAUAACGAGCGCAACCCUUGCCGUUAGUUGCCAUCAGGUCAAGNNGGAGACUUUAAUGAGACUGCCACCGUAAGGUGUGAGGAAGGGGGGGAUGACGUCAAAUCAGCACGGCCCUUAUGUCCGGGGCGACACACGUGUUACAAUGGGAGGUANNGAGGGCAGCUAUCCGGUGACGGAAUGCUAAUCUCCAAAACCUUUCUCAGUUCGGAUUGGAGUCUGCAACUCGACUCCAUGAAGGUGGAUUCGCUAGUAAUCGCGCAUCAGCCAUGGCGCGGUGAAUACGUUCCCGGGCCUUGUACACACAACCCGUCAAG